UACGGAGGGGGCUAGCGUUGUUCGGAAUUACUGGGCGUAAAGCGCACGUAGGCGGCUUUGUAAGUUGGAGGUGAAAGCCCGGGGCUCAACUCCGGAAUUGCCUUUAAGACUGCAUCGCUAGAAUUGUGGAGAGGUAAGUGGAAUUCCGAGUGUAGAGGUGAAAUUCGUAGAUAUUCGGAAGAACACCAGUGGCGAAGGCGACUUACUGGACACAUAUUGACGCUGAGGUGCGAAAGCGUGGGGAGCAAACAGG
RNAcentral lists this ribosomal RNA (253 nucleotides) under uncultured bacterium. RNAcentral's name for it is "partial 16S ribosomal RNA". It matches the Rfam family "Bacterial small subunit ribosomal RNA", at positions 524 to 776 of the family's 1533-position model. The record is from RNAcentral.